ACCACGCUCGCUCUGUAGGGCCAGGCCCGGUUGGGACCGCUUGCAGCAAAGGCAAUGUGUACGCCUCUGGAGAUAGUUUAUGUCACUUUCGAGCCCCACUCACUCCAACAGUAGAACUAAACUACCUGGUCUUACAUGGAUUCUGACACUUGGCACGUUUGGCAAAUGAAUGAAUGAUCCAGUCAAUCAAUGAGUGAAUGCACGCAUGCUGAUUUAAAUUUCAGAAGAUUGUUACUGUUCAAAAGUAACUAGAUCAACAAGGGACCUCAAAGUUCUGGAGGCUGGAAGUCCAACAUCAAGGUGCCGCCAGAUUCAGUUCUUGGGCGCGGCCUGCUUCCUGACUUGCAGAGGCUGCCGUCUAGUGGUAUCCUCACCUGGCAGAGGUGACUGCUGUGGUAACCAGUUCCAGAGCAGGCUUUGACCAAUUUCACGCAAGUGCCAUCUGACUGCACCUCUGCCAAGCCCAUGUUGCUGGUGUCCAGGCUGCUGCCCCAGAGCUCUGACUUCAUAGUAUGGAAUGACUUUGGGAAUCCACUCAACACUCACACAUGUGCGACCCAAAAUGUGGGAGAAUUAAUGCCAUGUGGGGAGCCACCGCAUAAAUACUUCCAUCUUUCUGAAGUGUGCUGUCAGGAUAGUUUGAGACACAUUUCAUAAGGCUUCUCAGAAGGUCCUGUGAGAUUGAGCACCCAGUCAUUCAUAGCAGUGGUCAACUCAGUAACGCAUCCUUAUAUUGUCUCUCCUUCAUUCUACGAUUCAUUUUCCCCCAGCAGUGUGCUAAACUGCUCAUAUGGAUUGGCAAGAGCCAAUUGUUAAAUUUCAGGAAUUUUGCAAUUUGGUGAGUAAACACAAACACCAUUUUAAAUUAAAUUAUAUAAGCUUAAAAUUAAGUUACAUUAAAAGCAAGUAUUGGGGCCAGCCCAGUGGCACAGCAGUUAAGUUCACGCAUUCCAUUUUGGCAGCCCGGGGUUUGCCGGAUCGGAUCCCGAGUGCGGUCCUUCACACUGCCUGUCAAGCCAUGCUGUGGCAGGUGUCUCACAUAUAAAGUAGAGGAAGAUGGGCACAGAUGUUAGCUCGGGGCCAGUCUUGCUCAGCAAAAAGAGGAGGAUUGGUGGCAGAUGUUAGCUCAGGGCUAAUCUUCCUCACACAAAAAAAAAGAUACGUAUUCAGGAUUUAUCAUUUUCUAAUUAUUUUAAUGCAUCUUAUUAUCAUCAGUACUCUUGAGUUAUUCAUAUCUAUUGUAUCUGUUUGGUGGAAAUACUGUAUAAUGGUGUGCUAUGUUACAUCUCUUCCCAAGUUUCCGUUCAGCGACAUUGGCAUCUUGAUAUCAGCCAUGGUGGAAGUAUUACAUCACAGAAAUAGGCAAAUACUACAAAAGGAUUUGAUUGUUUUGUUGCUUAUUUAUACUUAAGAAAAUAAGGGAGAAAAUGUUAAUAAUGUAGAUUAAACUUAGAAGUCAGUCGUGUCUCUAACAGUUGCAUUGUGAAUGACACAAAAAAUUGUGUUCUAGACUACUAUUCAAUUCAGCAAAAAAGUCACUCAGGACAUUGAUGAAUGAAUGAAGUUGACAUAGGUCUUAGUUUCAC
RNAcentral lists this long non-coding RNA (1586 nucleotides) under Equus asinus (donkey). RNAcentral's name for it is "lncRNA (ENSEASG00005030529.1)". The record is from RNAcentral. Lineage: Eukaryota; Metazoa; Chordata; Mammalia; Perissodactyla; Equidae.